RNAcentral lists this transfer RNA (75 nucleotides) under Candidatus Woesebacteria bacterium. RNAcentral describes it as "tRNA-Ile". It matches the Rfam family "tRNA". Rfam says of the family: Transfer RNA (tRNA) molecules are approximately 80 nucleotides in length. Their secondary structure includes four short double-helical elements and three loops (D, anti-codon, and T loops). The record is from RNAcentral. Lineage: Bacteria; Candidatus Woeseibacteriota.
GGGCCCGUCGUUCAACGGUUAGGACGGGAUUCUUAUAAAGUCCAGACGAUGGUUCGACUCCAUCCGGGCCCACCC